GAUGAAGAACGUAGCGAAAUGCGAUACGUAAUGUGAAUUGCAGAAUUCAGUGAAUCAUCGAAUCUUUGAACGCAUAUUGCGCUCUCUGGUAUUCCGGAGAGCAUGCUUGUUUGAGUAUCAGUAAACACCUCAACUCCCUUUUCUUUUUUGAAAUGGGAGCUGGACUUGAGUGAUCCCAACACUUUUCUCACUGGAAAGUGGCGGGUCACUUGAAAUGCAGGUGCAGCUGGACUUUUCUCUGAGCUAUAAGCCUAUCUAUUUAGUCUGCCUAAAAAACAGAUUAUUACCUUUGCUGCAGCUAACAUAAAGGAGAUGAGUUCUUGUGCUGACUGAUGCAGGAUUCACAGAGACAGCUUUGCGGCUGACUUUGUAAACUCGAUCUCAAAUCAAGUAAGACUACCCGCUGAACUUAAGCAUAUCAAUAAGCGGAGGA
This 433-nucleotide unclassified non-coding RNA is filed under the name soil metagenome. RNAcentral describes it as "partial contains 5.8S ribosomal RNA, internal transcribed spacer 2, and large subunit ribosomal RNA". The stretch from base 1 to 120 matches the Rfam family "5.8S ribosomal RNA", at positions 35 to 154 of the family's 154-position model. The record is from RNAcentral.